UUUGAUUGGUUGUGAAUGAUGAAGGGGCGUUAACUUUUUAGCCACACAGUUGUUUUGCUAAUGUGUUAUCCAUUAGCUAUUCGCAGGCAUAUUUGGCUUUGAGCUUGUAACGUAGCAUAAACCAUUAGUUGAUUUCACAAAGAUAACAAACGUCAACAUUACGGACUUAACGGCGGAUGAUGAUCUAUUUUGGUUGUGUGUAGGCAAGAGGGCGAAGAGACACGGCAGAUGCAGUCCAGACAUGUUGGGGGAGCUUGGAUACAACACAAGAGUGGAACUUGAGGGGAGGAUGACCUGAUGACCCGAGUUUCCAAUAACAUGCCAUAAAUAAUGAGCUGCGCCGGCGACAGCCAGAUCUUCCACAUAUCAUGGACAGGAUGAAGCGUACUCAAAGGCUGAAUGGCCAAGCAAACAGAUGCGUUAUGAAAUGAGGCUGAGGUUGGAGAUAUGGAGAUAAACAUCCACAAUGCCCUGACAACAUUGGCACCAAAUAUCAUCACGGCGGCUCUGCUGGGGAGCCACAAGGGACAAUUCACCACCUUGAUGACUGAGGCCAAAGCAGACGAUCAUCUGAAGAGUGCUGCGGUCCUCAUCGUACCAGAGCAGAGGUUUUGCUGCUUGGAUGAGGAGCCAUCCAGCCCAUCUCCAGUAAUGGUGUCACACAACGCUGUGAGUCCCCUGCUGUGUACUACCCAACGCAUCCACCGCGACUGGGGAGAUGGACGUCCUU
Engraulis encrasicolus (European anchovy) is the source of this 730-nucleotide long non-coding RNA. RefSeq lists it as uncharacterized. The transcript has 6 exons. The record is from RefSeq and is a predicted model, not a curated record. NCBI's taxonomy places the organism in Eukaryota, Metazoa, Chordata, Actinopteri, Clupeiformes, Engraulidae.